AACAAAAAUUGAAUUGGAGCCAUAAAGCCCCUUGGAAAAAUACCCUGGUACCUUGCUUACAGGUUUCCUAGCAGCCUUAUCAGGGAACUCUGGGCUUCUGCCCCUGGGAGAGCAGGAAAAAGAGUCAGAAGGAAAAGGACACCUCGCCUCCGGGCCCCCAGUUUUCACCCCGAGCCUUGGGCAGAUGCGUGCCGGCCCGCACCCCUUCACUGGGAUCCUCUGCAACAGGAUCGUCCCCGAGGCCCCAGCUCUCAGGCGAAGGCCUCAGGUGCGUGGCUCCUGUUGGAGUGAAUAAUCGAAGCCCUGACAAGGAAGGCCAGCUUCUAGAAGCUGAGAGCCGGGCUGCUGGCGCGGAGGCGAGGAUCCUCCCGAGCAGGAAAGAAACAGACGUUCGGAUUAAGUAAACAGGGGCUUUAGACAGAGCCACUAGCCUGCCAGAGAGGCCACUUCUGUUUACGAGGCAUGCUCGGGUAAAGAUACAAGGGAGGAAGAAACUUUUUCAAGCUUCACUUCUUAAACCCUCAAGCUUUUAUUUCAGUUGCCUCCUAGGCAUGACCAAAAUGCACAGAUUAGACUCAGCGGAAGUUGAAGAUCACUCUGAAUAUGUCUCCUUCAGCUGCUUUCAUGGAGGAUGCGAUUGCUGUUAAGCCUCCACCAGCAGUGCCCACUGAAGGUUUGUCAUGCCAGUAUAAUGCCAUGGAUGCCCUCCAAGUGAGACGGGCUGGGACCUGGGACCUGGGACUUGGGACCUAGGACCCUUUACAGAAUGCCUGCACCUGGACAAAUAUCUCCUAAAGCAACAAAACACAAAGAAACUAUAAGGGACUAAAAAUCACUGCACACAUGCACAGUUGUGGCAGUUAUGAACAAUAAGAUACAAAAAGGCCAAAACAACUGUCACUUUUGAGGUGCCGGGAGCAAAAGCAGGGUACUACUGCACAUAAUCUGGGCACAUGGCGCCACCAAGGGUGGGCACACCACCCAAACCACCCCUUCUGCCCCACCCACCGAUCUGCCCCCAUCCU
Vicugna pacos (alpaca) is the source of this 1025-nucleotide long non-coding RNA. RefSeq lists it as uncharacterized. The record is from RefSeq and is a predicted model, not a curated record. Lineage: Eukaryota; Metazoa; Chordata; Mammalia; Artiodactyla; Camelidae.